Molecule: ribosomal RNA, 349 nt
Filed under: uncultured fungus
Lineage: Eukaryota; Fungi
Description: eukaryotic LSU rRNA
Rfam family: 5.8S ribosomal RNA (bases 1-71)
Source: RNAcentral
GUGAGUCAUCGAAUCUUUGAACGCACCUUGCGCCCUUUGGUAUUCCGAAGGGCAUGUCUGUCUGAGUGUCUCGAAAUUCUCAACCUCCAAUCCUUUGUGGUUGGCUGGUUGGAUCGUGGGUGCUUGCCGGCUUCGGUCUGGCUCACCUGAAAUACAUUUGUGAUCGAGCACCCUUGCGAGUUGGCCCGACUAGGCGUGAUAGUGAUAACGUUCGUCUAGGAUCCUUGCUUCGUGCGAGGAGCCGCUCCUGUUGUGGUGCCGUUUGAUUGCAUUACCCUAUACAUCUUUGGUUUUGACCUCAGAUCAGGCAGGACUACCCGCUGAACUUAAGCAUAUCAAUAAGCGGAGG